This 253-nucleotide ribosomal RNA is filed under the name uncultured bacterium. RNAcentral's name for it is "partial 16S ribosomal RNA". It matches the Rfam family "Bacterial small subunit ribosomal RNA", at positions 524 to 776 of the family's 1533-position model. The record is from RNAcentral.
AACGUAGGUGGCAAGCGUUAUCCGGAUUCAUUGGGCGUAAAGCGCGUGCAGGUGGCUUCGUAAGUUGGGUGUUAAAUCUCCCGGCCUAACCGGGAGGGGUCGCUCAAUACUGCGGGGCUUGAGGGCAGAAGAGGGGGGUGGAAUUGCUGGUGUAGUGGUGAAAUGCGUAGAUAUCAGCAGGAACACCUGUGGCGAAAGCGGCCCCCUGGUCUGCUCCUGACACUCAGACGCGAAAGCUAGGGGAGUGAACGGG